This 1341-nucleotide long non-coding RNA is filed under the name Pomacea canaliculata. RNAcentral describes it as "uncharacterized LOC112555653, transcript variant X2". Lineage: Eukaryota; Metazoa; Mollusca; Gastropoda; Architaenioglossa; Ampullariidae. The record is from RNAcentral.
GUGUUCCAAUCAGGUUACAUAGGAAAUAUGUAAUAUAUAAAAGGCUUGAAGGAAGCAAGUACUAGCAGUGCAAGUGUUGCGGUCCCGCUGAAACUUCACCUCCUUCAGUCUUCUUGCAUCGCAGUCAGUAUACUGUCAUCUACCCCAAGUCCAGUGAGUUAUAACAAGCAUCCUUCAACAUGUCUGAAGAAGAAAAAGAGACGGUUUACCAUUACACAGACGAGGAAAGCGCGAAGAAGAUUAUUGAAGACGGUACUAUCAAGCAAAGCAUAAGUAGUGACUCGGCAAAUGCUGUCUUUGGUACAGGAACCUACGUAACAACAUUGCCACCUAGUCAUGGCAAAGAAGCUAUCGCCAGAAACAAUUACGAUGAUAUGAAAGGGCUCCAAGAACGGAAGAUAAAUGAAGGCAAAGUGGAUGUUGCCAUCAAGAUGGAAGUCUCUAAAGCCAAAUUAGAGAAAGUUGAUGCAGGAGGUCGGAAUGUCUCAAUUCACCAUGGAGACAUUCCCCUGAAAGGCAAAUGUUCCGUUGUGAAAACACCCGAUAAACCCUCAAAAUAAAAGCGCCUUUGUCUUUAUAUUAACACUGUCUUAAAUAUUAAGACAGAAAGACAAACUCGUGUUCUGAAGUACUGCUUACACAAACGAUGUAUAUAACAGAUAUAAACAUAUUAAUUUUGUUUAGUGAAGUAAAGAGAAUCACGAGAAUUACUUUCCUGUUGUCUUCCUGCAGAACACCACGGAUACAGUGAAAAAUAUAUCAACAUGUCAUUAUUUUAACACCUUUAGCUCGGUGUCUGAUUGUUUCUUCAACAAUAUAGAAAUUUGAUAAGAUGACACUCUCUCCGUUAUCUUGACUUCAACUAAAUCCAAUAAAUAUUACUUAAUUAGUGCACGCACGCAAGUAGACAUGCAUACACAUAGAGUAAAAGAUAAUGUUAGGGGUCAAACGGGUGCAAUAUAUGUCGCAAUGAUUCAAGUAAAACAAAAGGUCAUCUUUAAAUUUAUGAAGAGGAAAAUAUGUGAAUGACAUGGCUAACCUAGGAAAAAUUCGGACUUGGUGCAACUAUGUCUGAAGUAAGAGAUGUAAUUCUCAAUCGCAUACAUUUAGAAAUGUUAGAGAAGUCAUAUGUGCUGAUCUGCCACAAUAUAAAGUAAGAUUAAACUAGUAGACAGGCAGACCAAGACAGACGAGAAGAGCUGGUAAUUCUUGAUCUCAGAUCGGUUACUAUUUUACUUUGAUUGUGAUAGUUAAGCUGAUGCUAAAUAAAUUGUCAGAUUUUUUUUUAAAAACAAGAAUUGUCACCGCCUUGUGGAGAGAAUAAAUUUGGAAACUUGGAAA